RNAcentral lists this long non-coding RNA (1407 nucleotides) under Olea europaea subsp. europaea. The record is from RNAcentral. Lineage: Eukaryota; Viridiplantae; Streptophyta; Magnoliopsida; Lamiales; Oleaceae.
CGAGUAUUAAACCUGGGAUGAAAUCCGCACAUUUAAGCAAAAAGACCUCGAGAGCUAUCCACUAUCCAAAGGCAUGGAAAAGAUAUAAUAAUUUAUUCAGGAAGUACCCCAAUCUUGAUAUUCCUAAACGAGCGCAAGUAUACAUCUUAUGCUAUGGAAUACGCCAAAAAUUCAAGAAUAUGGUUGAUACUUCAGUGGGAGGAUCGAUAACGACUAUAAAUAUAGACGAAGCUUAUGAGCUGUAUGAGAGAAUAGCAAAAAAUCAAUCGAUAUGACCGAGCGACAGGGAAGUCCAGAGGAAAAUAGCUUGUAUAUAUAAUGUGGACACAGUGACAGUUUCGACAGCACAAAUGGAGGCAAUAACUAGAAAGCUUGACACUUUGACCCAUUCUGUGAACAUAAUACAAACUCCAGCUCCGAUUUGUGUAGGUUGUGGGGCAGAUCACAUCAUUGCAAGCUACCCUAUGGCUUUUACUCAUAUAAGUCAGCCAAUAGAGAUCAAUUAUACACAAAACUAUCGAAGGCAAAAUGGACCUUACAUAAACAACUACCAUUUGAGUUUGAACAAGCAUCCCAACUAUACGUGGGUGGAUAAUUCAGAUCAAAUAAAUCAGAUGAGGAGCAAUUCACCAGUGAUUCACCAACAAGAAGAAAAUAGGCAAUCCUUAGACGAUCUAAUUGUCAAGUACAUCACCAAGACUGAGACGACGAUACAGAAUCAACAAGCCACUAUACAUAGCUUAGAGAAUUAGGUGGGACAAAUAGCAGCUGCAUUAGCCAACAUGCGACAAGGUACCUUGCCUAGUGACACAGAGAAGAAUCCACAAAAGUACGUAUUAGUAGUUGAAGCUAUGAAUUAUGCAAUUAUUGAGACACCAUCAAUCAAGCCUACUACAUCUGUUCCAGCUUAUGUGCAGCCUAUCCCAUUUCCCCAAAGGCUUCAAAGACAACCUAAAAAGGAUCAAGUCUAAGCUAUCACAAUGAGAAGCGAAGUUCAAUUGCUAGAAAUAACAGUGAAGAAAAAAGGGGCCGAGGAGAAUCAAGCAUCUACCACGGAAGAAGAACAAGUGGGUUGAUCUGAAAAAUCAUCAAAUGUUAAUCAAGAAAAACAGUCACACAAUCCACAGGUCAAGGCAACCGUUCUCGUCAAUAAAUACACGCCUUUAGUUCUAUUCCCUCAAAGGUUACAAAACAAUAAACCGGACAAACAAUUUAAGAAGUUCUUAGUGCCCUUGGACAACUUCACAUCAACAUUCCUUUUAUUGACGUCAUUCUACUAAUUCCAAACCAUGCUUAGUUUUUGAAGGAGAUGUUUACUAAUAGCUUUAUCUAAAGAAUGUAACGCUAUCAUUCAGCACAGGAUUCCUCCCAAACUUAAAGAUCCAGGAAGUUUUACUCUACCUUGCU